GUAAUAAAGCACAAAUUUUAACUACAAUUAGGGCGUGUUUGGUUUGCUUCUUUUUCACCCUAGAAUCGGAAUUGGAAUGGGUAAAUCCGUUUGUGAGUGUUUGGUACGCGAGAGUCCCAUUCCGAUUCCGAUUCCCGAGUGGAAUGGGAAUCCCCCAAUCACCUCUUUUUUCAAUCCGGCCUAGGGGGCCGAAUUGAAAGUUGAAUUGGGACGGAAUGGAUAUUUAUUCGGAUUAAAUUUAUUUUUUUAAUUUUUUUAAUUAAAAUAUGAGUUAAAAUUUAAAAAUUAAAUAUAUAAUUUUAAAUUUUAAUUUAAACUUAAAUUAAAAAUUAAAAUUUAAUCAAGUAUUUCGAAUCUAACUUAUGGAUUUGAAUUUAAAUUAAUAUAUUAUAAAGAUAAUGUUAGUAUAUUAAUUUGAUUACGUAUGUUUUUUAUAUCUACCUGAACCAAACACCGACAAUGGGAAUGAUUUAUUACGAUUCCGAUUCAGAUGAUGAACCAAACAUGAGUCAUUCUGAUUCCUAUUCUAGCUUAUUUUGAUUCCGAUUCCAACUUCGAACCAAACACGCCUUUAAUCUAGGUAUUACAAAUACUGAUACGAAACACGAUACGACUCGAAUACCACGACUCAGUAGCUUCCAAAAUAGUAGGAUGUGGACACGGUAUAUAAUUUAUUUUUUUUUGAGAGACAGAUAGCAUGCUACUCGCUUCGUUUAUUUUUUUUAGAAACAAACUUAGCUGAAAAAAUGAAUCAACUAGGAUACAACACGGUAUAUAAAAUAUUAAUUUGGUUAAAAUAUAGUUAUAUUUCUCAUACGAAUUAAAGCUAAUAAAAUUUUAAUUAGUAGUUCAUAUACUUUAAGAAAAAAAAAUUCCUACCUACGUAACUUAUUUAUAUUAUCUAAAAAAAAUUUGUAUGCAUUCAACAAAUUAAAAACUAAAAUACUUAUCAUCUUAUAUUAUAUAAAUAUACAAAAGUAAAAUAAAAAUAUUUAUAUAUAUUUUUUCAAUUGUAUGCGCUGUCGAUCUAUAUUGAACGCGUAUCUAAAACCUACGUAACAUAAACACACGAGAUUUAUAGAAGCGCCCGUGAUACAUAGCUACAAACUCAUGCGCAUAC
RNAcentral lists this long non-coding RNA (1120 nucleotides) under Ananas comosus (pineapple). RNAcentral's name for it is "long non-coding RNA (ACOM_LNC001404)". The record is from RNAcentral. Lineage: Eukaryota; Viridiplantae; Streptophyta; Magnoliopsida; Poales; Bromeliaceae.